This 494-nucleotide ribosomal RNA is filed under the name uncultured bacterium. Its description in RNAcentral is "partial 16S ribosomal RNA". It matches the Rfam family "Bacterial small subunit ribosomal RNA", at positions 30 to 507 of the family's 1533-position model. The record is from RNAcentral.
AUUGAACGCUGGCGGCAUGCUUUACACAUGCAAGUCGAACGGCAGCGGGGAGGAGCUUGCUUCUCUGCCGGCGAGUGGCGAACGGGUGAGUAAUACAUCGGAACGUGUCGAGAAGAGGGGGAUAACCACCCGAAAGGGUGGCUAAUACCGCAUAAAUUCUGAGGAAGAAAGCUGGGGACCUAGGAAUAGGCCUAGCGCUUUUUGAGCGGCCGAUGUCGGAUUAGCUAGUUGGUGAGGUAAAGGCUCACCAAGGCGAAGAUCUGUAGCGGGUCUGAGAGGAUGAUCCGCCACACUGGGACUGAGACACGGCCCAGACUCCUACGGGAGGCAGCAGUGGGGAAUUUUGGACAAUGGGGGCAACCCUGAUCCAGCCAUGCCGCGUGUAUGAAGAAGGCCUUAGGGUUGUAAAGUACUUUUGUUAGGGAAGAAAAGUCAGCUGUGAAUAAUGGCUGAUACUGACGGUACCUAAGGAAUAAGCACCGGCUAACUACGUG